GUGCUCGCUUUGGCAGCACAUAUACUAAAAUUGGAAUGCUACAGAGAAGAUUAGCAUGGCCCCUGCGCAAGGAUGACUAAAAAAGAAAACAAAAAAUAAAAUGAUAU
This is a small nuclear RNA of Arvicola amphibius (Eurasian water vole), 107 nucleotides long. NCBI's taxonomy places the organism in Eukaryota, Metazoa, Chordata, Mammalia, Rodentia, Cricetidae. The record is from RefSeq and is a predicted model, not a curated record.